RNAcentral lists this ribosomal RNA (408 nucleotides) under uncultured bacterium. Its description in RNAcentral is "partial 16S ribosomal RNA". It matches the Rfam family "Bacterial small subunit ribosomal RNA", at positions 28 to 526 of the family's 1533-position model. The record is from RNAcentral.
GACGAACGCUGGCGGCGUGCUUAACACAUGCAAGUCGAACGAAGUGGCGAACGGGUGAGUAACGCGUAAUCAACCUGCCCUUCAGAGGGGGACAACAGUUGGAAACGACUGCUAAUACCCCAUACGGAAGGAGGGGACUGCGUCUGAUUAGCUAGUUGGGGGGGUAACGGCCCACCAAGGCGAUGAUCAGUAGGCGGGCUGAGGGGAUGAACGGCCCAAUUUGGACUGGAACCCGGGCCAAACCCCUACCGGAGGCAACAGGUGGGAAUUUUUCGGAAUUGACGAAAGGCUGACCGGGCAACGCCGGGUGAGGGAUGACGGCCUUUGGGUUGUAAAGCUUUUUUAAUCGGGGCGCGGUACCUGACUAGAAAGCCACGGCUAACUACGUGCCAGCAGCCGCGGUAAUUC